CAUUUGAGAAGCUUUCUCAUGCUCAACGGCAGGAAGCAGCCCAGCUGAGGCGUGAGGACAAACGACGUCAAGAAAAGGAACGUCUGAUGAACGAAGAUGAUCCGGAAAAAGCUCGGAAAAUUGAAGAUAAACAGUACAAACAAGACAUGAAACGUCGCCUUGGUGCUAGACAAAAACAAGUGAAGAUUCGCUAAGCUUAUUGCCGUUUUAUAUGCAUUACUUAAAUGUAAAUUCAAUUGAAUGAGUGGGUUUUGUUUGGCAGAAACCCAACAGCAACCAUCAAACUAAUUUAACUACUAUUAAUUUUAAUAAAACAUGCAUCCUCAAAUUAAUUUCACUAUUGUGGACCUGUGAGCAGGCAAAAAUCUUCCAGAAAUUAAUCCAUCUCCCAAAAAUAUUUGAUGUAUGUUUUUACCACUGUAUUAUGUAUUAUGCAAUAUUUGGUGUAAAGAAACAGUAGGGAGCUCUCGAUUGCACAGUAGGAUGUCGAAUGUAAUGACAUCACUAAAAGUCAUCUGCUCAUGCGAGAAUGUUAGGUUCUCCUUGUCGCGUGGAUUCUAGGAUGCAAUUUGGCCAAAUGCAGAGAACGUAUGACGCCCAGUAGAACGGUCACGCAUGAGUGAUUUUGUUCUAGCGUUGUGUUGUUGAACAAAUCAAAAGCUCCCAAUCAAGAGCUCUUGGCUUAUCCCAACUUGGGACCCUUGUACACUGUAAUGCUGUUGUUUAUUUUACAAUUGCAGUUUCAAAAAUAUGGACAUUAAUUGUGCCCUUUAUAGUAUCAUUACUUUAUAUUAUCGUAUUAUUAUUUAAAUUAUAAUAAAUCUGGGGGUUUUUUUUGUUUUUUUUUUGUUAAAUGCCACACUCUGGAAAAGCUGACAUCUUUAGAUAAAUAAUUUUCUUCUGUAAUUUGUGUGAACUUCUGGCUGUGUUCUUUUUAAUGUCAUUUUUUACUGUACCAGUACAUAUAGCAAAAUUAUAAGGUGCUCCUAACAUGGGAUGUUACUUACGUUUCAUUGAAAUGGUCUGUUUUCAACCCUUUAAAUAAAAUUAAUGUACUUGUGUUGUGCUAAAGAUUCUGUGGGACAUAGACAUUUAGAAUUUGUUGAAUAGCUUUUGUCAUAAGAAACAAUGUGUCUUUCACAAAGCUCUACUUCACCAAAAGUUUGGUCAAAUAUUUGAUAGUCUAUGCCUACUUGUUUUAGGUAUACACUAUUUGUCUGUGGAUAUUUUUUUUUAGAUGGGGAAUUAUAGUCUAAUAUAGUCAUGGGUUUUGUAAGUACAGUAAUUUAUAGGACGUUGGAAAAAUGUAUGUUACAGAGAAGUUUUGAUUCAGAAGUCAUUCUAAAAUGUUCUCAUGAUAAGUUAUCUUCUUUAUACUAAAUAUAACUGAAUGGGCAAUCUG
This is a long non-coding RNA of Anneissia japonica, 1402 nucleotides long. RefSeq lists it as uncharacterized. The transcript is spliced from 2 exons. NCBI's taxonomy places the organism in Eukaryota, Metazoa, Echinodermata, Crinoidea, Comatulida, Comatulidae. The record is from RefSeq and is a predicted model, not a curated record.